Molecule: ribosomal RNA, 510 nt
Filed under: uncultured bacterium
Lineage: Bacteria
Description: partial 16S ribosomal RNA
Rfam family: Bacterial small subunit ribosomal RNA
Source: RNAcentral
GACGAACGCUGGCGGCGUGCUUAACACAUGCAAGUCGAACGAAGAGCGGCGGACGCUUGCUUCUAUCAAUCUUAGUGGCGAACGGGUGAGUAACGCGUAAUCAACCUGCCCUUCAGAGGGGGACAACAGUUGGAAACGACUGCUAAUACCGCAUACGAUCUAAUCUCGGCAUCGAGGAUGGAUGAAAGGUGGCCUCUACAUGUAAGCUAUCACUGAAGGAGGGGAUUGCGUCUGAUUAGCUAGUUGGAGGGGGAACGGCCCACCAAGGCGAUGAUCAGUAGCCGGUCUGAGAGGAUGAACGGCCACAUUGGGACUGAGACACGGCCCAGACUCCUACGGGAGGCAGCAGUGGGGAAUCUUCCGCAAUGGACGAAAGUCUGACGGAGCAACGCCGCGUGAGUGAUGACGGCCUUCGGGUUGUAAAGCUCUGUUAAUCGGGACGAAAGGCCUUCUUGCGAAUAGUGAGAAGGAUUGACGGUACCGGAAUAGAAAGCCACGGCUAACUACGUG